Molecule: ribosomal RNA, 340 nt
Filed under: uncultured eukaryote
Lineage: Eukaryota
Description: partial 18S ribosomal RNA
Rfam family: Eukaryotic small subunit ribosomal RNA
Source: RNAcentral
CCCUUAGAUGUUCGGGGCCGCACGCGCGCUACACUGAAGGACUCAGCGUGUCUCUCCCCCUAUCCCGAAAGGGAUGGGCAACCCGUUGAACCUCCUUCAUGCUAGGGAUUGGGGUUUGCAAUUAUCCCCCAUGAACGAGGAAUUCCCAGUAAGCGCGAGUCAUCAGCUCGCGUUGAUUACGUCCCUGCCCUUUGUACACACCGCCCGUCGCUACUACCGAUUGGAUGGUUUAGUGAGACCCUCGGAUCGGUCCCGACUCGGGGUGGGCUUCUGCCCCGGUCGUGGUUUCGCCGAGAAGACGGUCAAACUUGACUAUCUAGAGGAAGUAAAAGUCGUAACA